Long non-coding RNA from Lycium barbarum (goji berry), 1013 nucleotides. RefSeq lists it as uncharacterized. The transcript is spliced from 2 exons. The record is from RefSeq and is a predicted model, not a curated record. NCBI's taxonomy places the organism in Eukaryota, Viridiplantae, Streptophyta, Magnoliopsida, Solanales, Solanaceae.
UUUAUCACGAUCAAAGGCCAUAUACGACCAACUUUGGUUUUAAUACUUUAAAAAGAUUACUUCAACGUGAUUUAUAUUUUGGAGAUAUGUCUUCAAGUAUAAAGAUGGAGACUAUUUCUCUUAUGAAAACAUGUCAACAAUGUUAUUUUCCAAAAAUAAAUAGCAAUGUUACUGUAUAUUUUAAGGAGACAAGUAUAAUUUAUGGUUGCAGAUCUACUGACGGAAUACCGAAGGAAGUCUAUGAGACCUAAUAUGGAAAGAAACAAUCCUUAUGCUUUUGAAGCAUCUCCUUCUUUUGUAACUACUACUCUUGAUAGAGAUGCUAGUGGAACUGUUUCAUAUACAUCAGUUCCCUUAUUGUACGUCAAUGGACGAACUUACAGUUUCUUCUUGUACAUCUAUGGACAAUCCUUAAAUAUAAAUAAAACCCUUCCGUUUAAGCAAAAAAAAAAAAAAAAAAAAACUCUUCUAUUUGUAUUUUUCAAGAAGCAAGAGUUGUUCUUGGAAGUUUCAAGUAAGGUAGUUUAUACUUCCAUCAAUUAAGGUUCAGAUAUAUAUGUUGGCGGACUUCCUCGCUAGGUACUUGCAUGUAUUCAGCUGAUGUGUGGUAAGCUCUAUUUCUAGCUGGAGCUGAGUCGAGUCUAGUUCUUGUAUAGAGAUUACGAGUAGGUCGGGGCCCUGUCCCGACAGUUUGGUAGUUGUACAACUUCAGUCAUUGUAGGGGCUUCAUAGACAUGCAUUGACUGUCAUUUGUAUACACUUGAAUAUCAGUCACGUGUUUCAGGCCCGAUGGCCCACCUACAGAUAUAGAUGUGUCAGUCGCACCUUUCAUUUGUUUAUCCAGGAUGUUGUAUAAUCUGAUCCAGGUUCAUAAGUAUUUGCAUAAGUUUUCAUAUUGAUGGUUCGCUUGGUCAGGUUAAGGCACCGAGUGCCAGUCCUCCUCACGGUUUUGGGGCGUGACAUUAACAAAGUGUAUUGUUGGUACGGUGGCAAUAAAGGAACCUGUUAAGCUU